AGGAUGAACGCUGGCGGCGUGCCUAACACAUGCAAGUCGAACGUCCUGUCUCGCAAGAGGCAGGGAGUGGCGGACGGGUGAGUACCACGUGGGUCAUCUACCGUGAGGUGAGGAAUACCGGCGAGAAAUCGCCGACAAGACCGCAUAGGCUCGAUGCAAGUCGAGCAAAGCUCUUUCGAGAGAGGGAGCGCCACACGAGGAGCCUGCGCCCGAUUAGCUAGCUGGUGGAGUAACGGUUCACCAGGGCGACGAUCGGUAGCUGGUCUGAGAGGACGAUCAGCCACACUGGGAUUGAGAACGGCCCAGACUCCUACGGGGGGCAGCAGUGAGGAAUUUUCGUCAAUGGGGGCAACCCUGAACGAGCAACGCCGCGUGCAGGAAGAAGGUUUCGGAUCGUAAACUGCUUUUCUCGGGAAGAGAAUGGACGGUACCCGAGGAAUCGAGCCCGGCUAACUACGCGCCAGCAGCCGCGGU
This 474-nucleotide ribosomal RNA is filed under the name uncultured bacterium. Its description in RNAcentral is "SSU rRNA". It matches the Rfam family "Bacterial small subunit ribosomal RNA", at positions 26 to 521 of the family's 1533-position model. The record is from RNAcentral.